AGUGAACGCUGGCGGUAGGCCUAACACAUGCAAGUCGAACGGCAGCACAGUAAGAGCUUGCUCUUACGGGUGGCGAGUGGCGGACGGGCGAGGAAUACAUCGGAAUCUACUUUUUCGUGGGGGAUAACGUAGGGAAACUUACGCUAAUACCGCAUACGACCUACGGGUGAAAGCAGGGGAUCUUCGGACCUUGCGCGAUUGAAUGAGCCGAUGUCGGAUUAGCUAGUUGGCGGGGUAAAGGCCCACCAAGGCGACGAUCCGUAGCUGGUCUGAGAGGAUGAUCAGCCACACUGGAACUGAGACACGGUCCAGACUCCUACGGGAGGCAGCAGUGGGGAAUAUUGGACAAUGGGCGCAAGCCUGAUCCAGCCAUACCGCGUGGGUGAAGAAGGCCUUCGGGUUGUAAAGCCCUUUUGUUGGGACAGAAAAGCAGCAGGUUAAUACCCCGCUGUUCUGACGGUACCCAAAGAAUAAGCACCGGCUAACUUCGUG
This 492-nucleotide ribosomal RNA is filed under the name uncultured bacterium. RNAcentral's name for it is "partial 16S ribosomal RNA". It matches the Rfam family "Bacterial small subunit ribosomal RNA", at positions 29 to 507 of the family's 1533-position model. The record is from RNAcentral.